UGCAUCGGCCGGGAAUCGAACACGGACUGCCCGCGUGACAGGCGAGCAUUCUAACACUGAACCACCGAUGG
Molecule: transfer RNA, 71 nt
Filed under: Cordylochernes scorpioides
Lineage: Eukaryota; Metazoa; Arthropoda; Arachnida; Pseudoscorpiones; Chernetidae
Description: tRNA-Asp
Source: RNAcentral